CCGUUGUUUCUUGGAUCUUGUUUUACUUGGAUAACUGUGGUAAUUCUAGAGCUAAUACAUGCAACUAAGCUUCGACCUUGCGGAAGGAGCGCAUUUAUUAGACCAAGACCAAUUAGGCUCCGGCCUACUAUCUGGUGACUCUGAAUAACUUUGCUGAUCACACGGUCCUCGCACCGGUGACAUAUCUUUCAAGUGUCUGCCCUAUCAACUGUCGAUGGUAGUUUAUGUGCCUACCAUGGUUGUAACGGGUAACGGAGAAUAAGGGUUCGACUCCGGAGAGGGAGCCUGAGAAAUGGCUACCACAUCCAAGGAAGGCAGCAGGCGCGCAAAUUACCCACUCUCAGCUCGAGGAGGUAGUGACGAAAAAUAACGAGACGGUUCUCUUUGAGGCCCGUCAUCGGAAUGGGUACAAUCUAAACCCUUUAACGAGGAUCUAUUGGAGGGCAAGUCUGGUGCCAGCAGCCGCGGUAAUUCCAGCUCCAAUAGCAUAUACCAAUUCUGCUGCUGUUAAAAAGCUCGUAGUUGGAUCUUUCCCGAGGGCCCGGUCUGUCUAACGGACUAGUACUGGGUUCCGAGGGUAUACCUUGCUGGUUGUCUCAUGGUGCUCUUCAUUGAGUGCCUUGGGUGGCUAGCACGUUUACUUUGAAAAAAUUAGAGUGCUCAAAACAGGCGUUACAGCCCGAAUAGUGGUGCAUGGAAUAAUGGAAUAGGACCUCGGUUCUAUUUUGUUGGUUUUAGGAGCGCGAGGUAAUGAUUAAGAGGGACAGACGGGGGCAUUCGUAUUGCGGCGUUAGAGGUGAAAUUCUUGGAUCGCCGCAAGACGAACAACUGCGAAAGCAUUUGCCAAGAAUGUUUUCAUUA
This 861-nucleotide ribosomal RNA is filed under the name Acanthopharynx sp. TAV14. RNAcentral's name for it is "SSU rRNA". It matches the Rfam family "Eukaryotic small subunit ribosomal RNA", at positions 110 to 975 of the family's 1831-position model. The record is from RNAcentral. Lineage: Eukaryota; Metazoa; Nematoda; Chromadorea; Desmodorida; Desmodoridae.